UAGGGAAUAUUGCGCAAUGGGGGAAACCCUGACGCAGCAACGCCGCGUGAGUGAGGAAGGUCUUCGGAUUGUAAAACUCUUUUAUCAGGGAAAAAUGUCUUAGUGGUUAAUACCCAUUAGGAGUGAUGGUACCUGAGGAAUAAGCACCGGCUAACUUCGUGCCAGCAGCCGCGGUAAUACGAAGGGUGCAAGCGUUGUUCGGAAUCAUUGGGCGUAAAGCGCGCGCAGGCGGAUCAGCAAGUCAGAUGUGAAAUCUCGAAGCUCAACUUCGAAACUGCGUCUGAAACUGCUAGUCUAGAAUGUCGGAGGGGGCAGGGGAAUUUCACGUGUAGGGGUAAAAUCCGUAGAGAUGUGAAGGAACACCGGAGGCGAAGGCGCCUGCCUGGACGACUAUUGACGCUGAGGCGCGAAAGCGUGGGGAGCAAACAG
Molecule: ribosomal RNA, 429 nt
Filed under: uncultured bacterium
Lineage: Bacteria
Description: bacterial SSU rRNA
Rfam family: Bacterial small subunit ribosomal RNA
Source: RNAcentral